Long non-coding RNA from Solanum dulcamara, 1157 nucleotides. RefSeq lists it as uncharacterized. Lineage: Eukaryota; Viridiplantae; Streptophyta; Magnoliopsida; Solanales; Solanaceae. The record is from RefSeq and is a predicted model, not a curated record. The transcript is spliced from 7 exons.
ACCCGACCCAAUCUCCUUAUUCCCAAAUCCAAAAUCGUUUGUACUCCUCUAUUCUCUUCUUCCUUCAUUCAACAACAAACAACACCAGAAACUCUUUCCCUACAAAAUCCCCCAAAAUCCGCAAGAUUCCAAGGUCAUUCAUCACCCUCAAGUCAAUAUGGGAGCAGCUAUUUCGUCGAAGUCAACGGUGGAAUCAUCUUCUCAACCCAUCAUUCCGGUUCGCUGCCCAGAACUAGCGACAGGUACUAGAGAUCAUCAAUCGGCGCUCCGUUGAAGAUCCACUUACACUCCCAGCUAGUUGCGACAAGUACUAGAGAUCAUCAAUCGGCGCUCCAUUGAAGAUCCACUUAUACUCCCAGCUAGUUGGUGAGUCCUCCUAGUUUCCGGAGGAUGUUGAGUUUCCUUGUAUAGUUUUGUUGCUGUUGUUUCUUUUAUCUUGAUUGUUGGUAGCCAUGGGCUUGUCAUUGGCACCUUCUAGACUUUGGUAGAGGCUUUAUAGACUAGAGUGUGGAAAGGUUGGACUGUUACUUUGAGGAGUCCUAUUAUGUUUAUUCUGUUGAGUUAAACAUGUUUGGCCUUCGGCCCCCAUGUUGUAUAUAACAUGUUAUAAUUGAGUCUUCCUUUGAGCGUAUAUGACUGAAUGAUGGAAUGUUUGAGUUAGGUGGUUUACUUGAAGGUCAGAAAUGGCUUUCAAGUGUCGGUCACGUCUAGGGUACCCUCCCGGGGCGUGACAUGAAGAGAACGGCGUCGACUGAAGCAAACAAAAAAAUCUUCAGAUUACAUUGAUUUGGAGGCCCAACGAAAAGGGGAGGCUCAAGUUCCGGAGUGAUUGCUUGAUUAUUUGAGAUACAGGUGUUAGAGAUCCUCAACAGGCGCAUCAUUGAAGAUCAUUACUUUUCGGCUAUUUGGUUCCGUGCCUGGACUUUGAUCACUGUUCUUUUCUUGAUCAUUCGAGGCUUCUGGGAAUUGAGAGAGGUAGCCAUUAAUAUCCAGCGAACUCUCAUACUUCCUGUAUUUUUAUGUUUUACUCUGUUUGAGAGUUGAAGACAUAAUGAGACUUGUACUUUGAUUUCAAUUUUACUUUCUUUAGCGGCUUGUACAUGUGACAACCAAUAUUUAGGGGUAAUUUUAAGUUGACAGACUUCCGUUUUUGAUUA